UACUUAUCUAGAGUGACCGAGGGAAAGGCCCGAUGACGUCCAGCAACCUCCUGAAAUAGGAAGGUGCCAAAUCCUACAGAAUGAAUUCCAUUCUGAAAGAUAAGUC
RNAcentral lists this non-coding RNA (106 nucleotides) under Geomicrobium sp. JCM 19038. RNAcentral describes it as "SAM riboswitch aptamer (S box leader)". It matches the Rfam family "SAM riboswitch aptamer (S box leader)". From Rfam's summary of the family: The SAM riboswitch is found upstream of a number of genes which code for proteins involved in methionine or cysteine biosynthesis in Gram-positive bacteria. The record is from Rfam by way of RNAcentral. RNAcentral also lists the same sequence under 1 other name. Lineage: Bacteria; Bacillati; Bacillota; Bacilli; Caryophanales.